This 419-nucleotide ribosomal RNA is filed under the name uncultured bacterium. RNAcentral describes it as "bacterial SSU rRNA". It matches the Rfam family "Bacterial small subunit ribosomal RNA", at positions 28 to 447 of the family's 1533-position model. The record is from RNAcentral.
GAUGAACGCUGGCGGCGUGCUUAACACAUGCAAGUCGAACGGUGAAAGAGAGCUCGCUCUCUGGAUCAGUGGCGAACGGGUGAGUAACACGUGAGCAAUCUGCCCCUGACUCUGGGAUAACAGUUGGAAACAGCUGCUAAUACCGGAUACGAGCUGCGAAGGCAUCUUCAGCAGCUGGAAAGAAUUUCGGUCAGGGAUGAGCUCGCGGCCUAUCAGCUUGUUGGUGAGGUAAUGGCUCACCAAGGCGUCGACGGGUAGCCGGCCUGAGAGGGUGACCGGCCACACUGGGACUGAGACACGGCCCAGACUCCUACGGGAGGCAGCAGUGGGGAAUAUUGCACAAUGGGCGAAAGCCUGAUGCAGCAACGCCGCGUGAGGGACGACGGCCUUCGGGUUGUAAACCUCUUUUAGCAGGGAAG